GGGGGCGAAUGGCUUCGACCGGAUGGCGGAGAGCCAAGUUGCAUGUCCAGGACGCCGGUUGGCCUGGUUAAUCACCCGGCAACAAAGUUUAAUUGGCAACUCACAGUUGCGCAUGGCUGCUUAAUUUAGCAGCUCGUCCUGCCUGACUAAGGCCUGCGAGUUUGGUAAGGGCGUCAAAAAGCGGGCUGGCUGAGCCGGUUGUUCGGGCCGGCUUUAGCGAGAAACACCGAAAUAGCCGAGCUAAGAGCUUGUCGUUUGGUUUUUAGUAAGGCGAAAAAACAAUUAAACGACUAAACAUGUAGACGCUUGUCUUGAAACAUCUCGGGACGGGGGUUCGAAUCCCCCCGCCUCCAU
RNAcentral lists this transfer-messenger RNA (354 nucleotides) under marine eukaryotic metagenome. It matches the Rfam family "transfer-messenger RNA". Rfam says of the family: Bacterial tmRNA, also known as 10Sa RNA or SsrA, is named for its dual tRNA and mRNA-like properties. Its role is to liberate the mRNA from a stalled ribosome. To accomplish this part of the tmRNA is used as a reading frame that ends in a translation stop signal. The record is from RNAcentral.